GGCAAUUCACCUAGGAGAGCAAACUCUAAACAAACCCGGGCAGGUGGAGGUCGUUAGCCGUGGUAGGCAAUUCACCUAGGAGAGCAAACUCUAAACAAACCCGGGCAGGUGGAGGUCGUUAGCCGUGGUAGGCAAUUCACCUAGGAGAGCAAACUCCGAACAAUAAACCCGGGCAGGUGGAGCUCGUCAGCCGUGGGAGGCAAUUCACCUAGGAGAGCAAACUCUAAACAAACCCGGGCAGGUGGAGGUCGUUAGCCGUGGUAGGCAAUUCACCUAGGAGAGCAAACUCUAUACAAACCCGGGCAGGUGGAGGUCGUUAGCCGUGGUAGGCAAUUCACCUAGGAGAGCAAACUCUAUACAAACCCGGGCAGGUGGAGGUCGUCAGCCGUGGGAGGCAAUUCACCUAGGAGAGCAAACUCUAAACAAACCCGGGCAGGUGGAGGUCGUUAGCCGUGGUAGGCAAUUCACCUAGGAGAGCAAACUCCGAACAACAAACCCGGGCAGGUGGAGCUCGUCAGCCGUGGUAGGCAAUCUGCCUAGGAGAGCAAACUCCGAACAACAAACCCGGGCAGGUGGAGCUCGUCAGCCGUGGUAGGCAAUCUGCCUAGGAGAGCAAACUCCGAACAACAAACCCGGGCAGGUGGAGCUCGUCAGCCGUGGUAGGCAAUCUGCCUAGGAGAGCAAACUCCGAACAAUAAACCCGGGCAGGUGGAGGUCGUCAGCCGUGGUAGGCAGUCUGCCUAGGAGAGCAAACUCUAAAUAAACCCGGGCUUGUGGUGCUCGUUAUACUGUCGUAGACAAUCCACGCGAUGGGAACACCAAAGAAAAGGAAAAUAAAAAAGAACACCAGAAAAUGGAAAAUACAGAAACGAAACAUCAAGAAAAGAA
Molecule: long non-coding RNA, 888 nt
Organism: Eriocheir sinensis (Chinese mitten crab)
Lineage: Eukaryota; Metazoa; Arthropoda; Malacostraca; Decapoda; Varunidae
Exons: 3
Source: RefSeq, a predicted model, not a curated record